Molecule: small nuclear RNA, 108 nt
Organism: Cucurbita pepo subsp. pepo (vegetable marrow)
Lineage: Eukaryota; Viridiplantae; Streptophyta; Magnoliopsida; Cucurbitales; Cucurbitaceae
Source: RefSeq, a predicted model, not a curated record
AUCUCACACUCCGAAGACAUUCGAUAAAAUUGGAAUGAUUCAGUGAAGAUUAGCGUAGGCCCUGCGGAAAGAUAACACGCACAAAUCGAAAAAUGGUAUCAGAGCUAU